AUUGAACGCUGGCGGAAUGCUUUACACAUGCAAGUCGAGCGGCAGCGCGGCCUUCGGGCUGGCGGCGAGCGGCGAACGGGUGAGUAAUGCAUCGGAACAUGCCCAGUCGUGGGGGAUAAUACUUCGAAAGAAGUGCUAAUACCGCAUACGUCCUGAGGGGGAAAGCGGGGGAUCGCAAGACCUCGCGCGAUUGGAGUGGCCGAUGUCAGAUUAGCUAGUUGGUGGGGUAAAGGCCUACCAAGGCGACGAUCUGUAGCUGGUCUGAGAGGAUGAUCAGCCACACUGGGACUGAGACACGGCCCAGACUCCUACGGGAGGCAGCAGUGGGGAAUUUUGGACAAUGGGGGCAACCCUGAUCCAGCCAUUCCGCGUGAGUGAAGAAGGCCUUCGGGUUGUAAAGCUCUUUCGGCAGGAACGAAACGGUGGGCUCUAACAUAGUCCGCUAAUGACGGUACCUGAAGAAGAAGCACCGGCUAACUACGUG
This 484-nucleotide ribosomal RNA is filed under the name uncultured bacterium. RNAcentral describes it as "partial 16S ribosomal RNA". It matches the Rfam family "Bacterial small subunit ribosomal RNA", at positions 30 to 507 of the family's 1533-position model. The record is from RNAcentral.